Molecule: long non-coding RNA, 86 nt
Organism: Thalassophryne amazonica
Lineage: Eukaryota; Metazoa; Chordata; Actinopteri; Batrachoidiformes; Batrachoididae
Exons: 3
Source: RefSeq, a predicted model, not a curated record
GCUGGUCCAGGGGAGAUCUGCAUGUUGAUUCGGCACAAGUUUCAAUCCAGAUGCCCUCCCUGACACAACGCCACAUUAUUUGGAGA